Molecule: ribosomal RNA, 110 nt
Filed under: Danio rerio (zebrafish)
Lineage: Eukaryota; Metazoa; Chordata; Actinopteri; Cypriniformes; Danionidae
Source: RNAcentral
CACCACAGCCGUAUCAUCCUGCAGCCCAAGAUCGGUUACUAGCUAAGCAGGGCUGAGCCUGGUCAGUACCUAGAUGGGAGACCACAUGGGAAACUAGGUUGCUGUUGGAA